Massospora cicadina is the source of this 71-nucleotide non-coding RNA. The record is from the annotation of a GenBank genome assembly. Lineage: Eukaryota; Fungi; Entomophthoromycota; Entomophthoromycetes; Entomophthorales; Entomophthoraceae.
GCUUCUUGGCGCAGUUGGCAACGCGUCAGUCUCAUAAUCUUAAGGUCACCAGUUCAACCUGGCAAAAAGCA